Molecule: ribosomal RNA, 505 nt
Filed under: uncultured bacterium
Lineage: Bacteria
Description: partial 16S ribosomal RNA
Rfam family: Bacterial small subunit ribosomal RNA
Source: RNAcentral
AGUGAACGCUGGCGGUAGGCCUAACACAUGCAAGUCGAACGGCAGCACAGGAGAGCUUGCUCUCUGGGUGGCGAGUGGCGGACGGGUGAGGAAUACAUCGGAAUCUACUCUGUCGUGGGGGAUAACGUAGGGAAACUUACGCUAAUACCGCAUACGACCUACGGGUGAAAGCAGGGGAUCUUCGGACCUUGCGCGAUUGAAUGAGCCGAUGUCGGAUUAGCUAGUUGGCGGGGUAAAGGCCCACCAAGGCGACGAUCGGUAGCUGGUCUGAGAGGACGAUCAGCCACACUGGAACUGAGACACGGUCCAGACUCCUACGGGAGGCAGCAGUGGGGAAUAUUGGACAAUGGGCGCAAGCCUGAUCCAGCCAUACCGCGUGGGUGAAGAAGGCCUUCGGGUUGUAAAGCUCGUUUGUUGGGAAAGAAAUCCAGCUGGCUAAUACCCGGUUGGGAUGACGGUACCAAAGAAUAAGCACCGGCUAACUUCGUGCCAGCCGCCGCGGUAA